GUUCCCGGCAAAGUGGCGAGCGAGGGAGCACUGUGCACCGACUUCUAGUCUGGGAAGGAGCGGGGCCGGGACCCUGAGGAGCGAGAAAGGGGGCAGAGGGAAGCAGAUGGAGAUAUCCUUCUCAGGGAUCUGGGCUGAGAGGGUCUGCACCACGGCGGUCUGCGUCUCCCUGGGCAGACACCUGGUCCCUUGCUGCUCCGCUGUCCUGCUCCAGGGGCAAAAGUGAAGGAAACAGGACUGACAAGGCAGAAAAGGCAGGAUGCGCAUCCCAGCUCUCAGAGGAUUUGUCUGGACCAUACAUAUGCUGGGACAGUUCUUUCUGGUGCCAUAAUUAAUGUGUCUCCUCCAAGAGAUCCCUGCAGAGAUCAUCUGACCCAUGAAGGCAGCAAGAGAUGGAAACCAUAGAGAUCCCAGACACUCUAACGUUCAUGGAUGAAGAAAGCAGAGAGCAUGGGCAUGAAAUAAGCCUGACCACAAACAAUGUUGAUGAUUUCCAGACCAUAAAGUGCCUCUCAGAAUACAGUGUGGUCUCCAUGUGUGAAGAAAUAACAGACAAAGCUAGCAGGACUUGGUGGGGGAAAAAAUCAGAGUAACAGAUGCGAAAUGGGAAUUAGAGAAGAGAUCCCAGGUUCUGGCUUAGGGUACCUUGUGUCCCCUUUUUAAUCCACAAGAUAAUAAAAGUUCUGAAUAUCUAUCGCCUUGGCUAGGUUAGUUAUGGAGUUUGAAAUAAUGUCCUGGGGCUGCUAUAACAGUGUAACCCACCCCAGAGGCUUAGGAAGCAAAACACAUCCUCCCACCAUUCUGGAGGUUAGAAGUCCAAACUCAAGGCAUCAAUGAGGCCAUGUUCUUUGUGGGUUCUCAGGGAGAUCUCCCUGCCUCCUCUAGUCUCUGGCAACCCUUGAACGCUCCUCGGCUUGUAGCAGCAGCAGCAUCUGGUCCCUGGUUGUCCCACGGGUCUCCUCUUUUGAGGGGUAUCUUGGUGUUAAACUUGUAUCGCUCUAAGCAGGCUUUCUUUCUCUUAAAACAAUGUAGUAAAAUUGCACAAUACAAAACAUGGUAUCACAGCCACUUUGAGUGUGAAACUCGGGAGUAUUUAGUUCAUCCACUCCAUCUUGCAACCAAUCUCCAGAAUCUUCUUCAUGCAACACAACCAAAAGUUUCUGGCCCUAAACCACACCACCUCCACAUUUCUCCCCGCUCCCAUAGCCUCGGCAAUCACCAUUUCACUUCGGGUGGCUCUCGGUCGACUGCUGUAGGCACCGGACAUCAGUGGAAGCAUACAGUACCUGCCUCUUCGUCAGUGGAUCAUUCAUGUGAGGCAGAUAUUGUAAAGUUGUUGCUUUUCUUUUUACUUUUAAAGGCGAAAUAAUGUUCCUUUUCAUACAAAUUCCAGCUUGUUUAUCCACCCCUCAGUAAUCACAUGAGUUGUCCUGUGUUAUGACAGCUGUAAACAAUUCUGCUGUGAGCAUAGGAGCCCAGUGUCUUUCCGUCUUAGACACUUGUUCUUCAUUUGUUUCUUUUUCCUCCAUCAAUCAACUUAAGUAACUUGUGGCAUUCUGAAAGUUUGUUCCCGUAAUGUACGUUCCCUAAUAAAUUGGCACCAUGUUAUUGCCAGGCCUAGUGGUGCAUGCCUUUAAUCCCAGCACUUGGGAGGCAGAGGCAGGUGGAUUUCUGUGAGUUCAAGGCCAACCUGGUCUACGCAAUGAGACCCUUGUCUCAAAACAAGUUACUUAUAAUCUUAAGUUCCAUGGAGUUGGUAGUGAUGUCGAUGCUUUCUUUUGUGUUUGUUUUAGUUUGUUGUUGUUGUUUUGCUUUGUUUUGUCUUGGUUUGGUUUUUGUG
Molecule: long non-coding RNA, 1840 nt
Organism: Myodes glareolus (Bank vole)
Lineage: Eukaryota; Metazoa; Chordata; Mammalia; Rodentia; Cricetidae
Source: RefSeq, a predicted model, not a curated record